Molecule: long non-coding RNA, 1319 nt
Filed under: Olea europaea (common olive)
Lineage: Eukaryota; Viridiplantae; Streptophyta; Magnoliopsida; Lamiales; Oleaceae
Description: long non-coding RNA (OEUR_LNC003490)
Source: RNAcentral
UAUUUGUAGAAAUCAAUUUGAGAAGACAGCCCAGAAAGUUUAUGUAGAGAAGAAGGUUGAUUCUUUUGGACUUUUAUUUAUUAAGAAGGUUGUACGUGAAAAUUUGGCUCUAUUUUAAUUUCCUUCUCUUUCUAUAUUUAUUUUUUGUCCCUGAGGCCGAGCUCCAUGCAGAGGAUACUUUGAAUGGUGGAUUAUAUGAAGCAAUACGAAAAGAACUUAGAUACGUUGUUGAAGAAAUUUGAACUGAACUGAACUGAAUCAAGUAUGUUCAAAAGCUCUCUUUGUUCAUACAAAUCUUGCUUAUUUAAAAUGUCGGUAAAUCUCUAUUUGUUAAAAUUUCUUGGUAUUUUAUGCAUAGGCCAUGGGAAGAAAUCAAGCAGCAUUAUCACUUGAAGGCAAAAAUUCAAAUUGUUUAUAGGGUCAAGAUUCAAAGAUGCAUUUCAAGAUUCUAAAUCUUAUUUGGUCGUCAAACCUAUAUCAGGUAUAGUUCCUUAGCAAAAGGAAAACCACUAUCAGGAUAUAUAGUUUUCACUUUCAUAUAUAAUUGUUUUUUGGAUUUGUUGCAUGUGCUUAUGUGCUUAUACAUUUACUGUCGUAAUAUGAUUUGAUGCUCCACUCAAAUAUCCUACACCUAGAAUUUAUAUUACUUUCAAUCCUUUUUGCUAGUAUUCUCCAACAUAUAUUGCCCAUACAUAAACUACAAUCAAGCAAGUGAAUCCAAUAUUCACUGUCAAAUCAUAAAUUUUUAUUUCUUUUUUGAUAAUCAGGUUUUAUCGUAUGUCAUAUACUAUUGUUAUGAGCAUGAAAAUGAAAUGUGUGUAUGAGUAUAUUAAGUAUCAGUCACAAUAAAUCAAAUUUCCAAUACACUUUACUACACGAUUAGUGUGUAUAUUUGUUAUCAACCCACAAGUAAAAUGUGCUCGUACGUAAAUCUUCAAAUGAAUAGUCAAUUUGACUAAAGGUGUUGAUGUAGAUAUUUUUUUUUUAAAAUGAUGUUCUACCUUUUGGUUGGAAAACCAAUAUGCCAUUGAUGAUGCAAUCAUGUGGAUAUUGGCUGAUCGUAAGAAGGUAUACAUAUAUUAAUUAUCAGCAUUGUUGGUGACAUGUGCACCUCAAGGUAAAAGCUUUAGGCAGCUUUUAAAACAACGAUUGAUGUUGAAUAUUGUAUUCUCAAUUAUUGAGCAAAUUUUCUAAACAGGUGGUAGGAGAGACACUGAAUCCAGAACUCAAUUCAGGCAUUCUAGCUAGGGAAGUCUUUCAGAAAAUUGCUUUAUUUCAUAUUACAAAAGAUAGAAUCCUACUAUAGUAAUUAAGCAUGG